This 1781-nucleotide long non-coding RNA is filed under the name Setaria italica (foxtail millet). Its description in RNAcentral is "long non-coding RNA (SITA_LNC002247)". Lineage: Eukaryota; Viridiplantae; Streptophyta; Magnoliopsida; Poales; Poaceae. The record is from RNAcentral.
CUGCUAAAUGAUAAGAAACACUUUAGUAUAUCUGUCGUCGUGUAAAAUACUGCACAAAAGAAAAUGUAAUGAACAAGUACACAAUAAAACGAAAUGACCCAACAGAUGUACCUGUAAACAGAAAAGGCUUACAGAAACCAUGCGAUGAACAAGUAGAGAACAAUCAAGAACAACCAAAAUAAGACAACGUUCAAACACAAUGUACCAUCUCCACCGAAACAGGUUACUAUUUCACUCACUACCACCCAGAUGUUCCUACAUGACAAUCAUCUCCACAGAAACAGGUUACUAUUUCACGCACCACCACCCACAGAUGUCCAUAUGUUCCUACAUGACAAUCAUCUCCACAGAAACUGAUACUAUUUAGCUUCUCGUGUUUUGAUCAAAAGUUCCUGUGCGCAGAUACCAUUUCACUCAUUAAACAAGCUACUAUUAAUUAAGUUUCGAACACAUUAUUAUCCUUCAGGGAGCAAGGACAAAACCAUCUUAACAGGAACAGAUAUUACUUGAGUCAUUGGCACCAUUGCAACUCCACAUACAAAGUUAGCAGGUAAAAAUAUGUAGGAGAUGACGAAGGCAAAACUAACCGAAUGCUGGACAAGUACACAACAACACUACCAGUCAGGGCUGCUAGCCAGAUGCUCUAGCACAGAGAGCAGCCAGACAUAAAACGGUUAAACAAACCACAGAUUAGAGGCCAUUGGUGGCGCAUCUCCCUGGGGUUUCUGCUUGACCGAGAGCUUGUACUCAUUCGAGCAAAAAGCCCGGCCUCCUGCUGAAACACAAACUGUUAUUUGUGUCCUGGGUUUUACAGGGUCGGAACAUGGCAGACACAUAGCAGUCAAUAUUUCCUGUUCACAAGAGGUGAUCAAAGCAGUCAUACCUAUUGUUCUGACGGAACCAAGCACCACAGUACUGCCCUCUGCUCCAAAUGUUCUAGAUUACCGAAAAGACAACACAGACAGACAUAAUAUGUAUCAGAGACUGGAUAAACAAAGAAACACUAACAGUAUAACAAUUAGACAAAAGAUGAAGAAACAGAGUUAGCACAGUUAGACAGGCAUAUGAGUCAAACAGCACACAUGUUUCUGUGGAGAUGACACACCAUAGCUAUAACUCUCACCCAACAUUAAGUGAAUAAUGCUAACCCCAAAAGUUCAAAUCUAUAUCUAUGCUCCCAAAAAAUCCCAUCUUACAGUAGUUCACAACCCAAAAAUUCUAAUCUUGACCCAAAUGUUACAAACAAAUCUAGUUUUUGUAGCCAACAGCAAGCAAAAGCAUGCGAUUUCCACAACUUCCAGGGUUAUGUUAUUCUUCACAUUAACCAAAUCAACAAUCAUCACUGCAAGGAACAGCUAGUCUUACAAGUACAAAUCCAGGAGCUCCAAUUGCCCCACUUUUCCUCAAUACCACACCCAAAAUAAAAUUCCUAAAUUAAGCUCAGCCUACAAACCAAUAACCAAAACGACCGAUCCCAAGUACACGGACCACCACCCUAAACCCUAAUCCCCCUAAUUAACGGGCAGGCUGGCCCAGUCCGACCGAGAAAUCCAACAGCCCUCACCACGGGGCGCUAGAAGCCUAUCCCACACCAAUUUACCAAUCCAGAACCCUAAUCAGAAACCCCCCACCAGAGAAUCGAACAAGCCCCCAUGAAAUCGACCAUCCAAGGACCCCGAUCCAUGUGCAGGCACCCGUUCCCCACUGGAUUCGACACGCCCAAACCCUAACAAACGAGCACAUCGAAAGAAAUCGCGGGAGAUUGGAAGGAUGAUCUCACC